UAUUGAAACCUCAAGAAGAAUAUUCUCAGUCUGUUGUACCCAAGUAUAUUUCUUUUCCAGAGUUCAGAAACUACAUUUAUCUAUUUAUAUAAAGGAAUUUUCACUUAAACUAUAAAGGCCAUUUAAUAUGUUACGAGAGCAAGUACAGGUCAUGAGCAGUGGCGGAUCUAAAAUUUUUAUCAAGGAGAUUUUCUCAAUAAAAUUGUUGUUGAUCGUUCAGGAGAUAGACAAGUUGCAUGGGGCUUCGGUUCAUCCCGUUUUUCAUGUGUUCAUGCUCAAAAAGUGUGUGGGUGAUCCUUCCUUAAUGGUGCCAGUUGAGGAUAUCGGCGUUAAGGACUCGUUGUCCUAUGAGGAAGUCUCGAUUGAAAUCUUGGAUAGGCAAGUUUUGAAAUUGAGAGCUAAGGAAAAAACUUGUGUGAAGGUUGUUUUUGAGGAACCAAAAGGUAUGCUUCAUGGGAAUCGGAAGAGUAUAUGAAAGCUAAAUACCCGUUCUUGUUUUCAAUGUUGGACGAAAGUUCUUAAGAUAUUAUCGUGGAAGGUGAAACUAGUGGGUGACGAUUAUAAGGAUUUUAUUGAUGAGGUGAGCCUUUGCCUUAUUCGUGGAGGCUUUCGUUUCAGCUUUAGCCCUUUAGCUUAUAUUUCUUUUCAUUGAGUUUGCAUGCCCGGAAGUUGAAUUCAUGUAACUCUAUUUUAGAUGCUUCAUGAUCUUAGAUUGAGCUUCGGGAUAGAAAAUUAAUUCACGAGUAAUUGUUGAAUUUAUAGUUUGAUUAUGAAUUUUUGUUGAAUUGCUAUUCGUUAUAUAUUGAUGCAUUGGAAUU
Molecule: long non-coding RNA, 818 nt
Organism: Capsicum annuum
Lineage: Eukaryota; Viridiplantae; Streptophyta; Magnoliopsida; Solanales; Solanaceae
Exons: 2
Source: RefSeq, a predicted model, not a curated record